CUGCUGCCGAUCUCGCCGCUGUUACCGCCGCGCUCGGGGGCGGCGAGGCCGAGAGGAGGCCUUGCGCCGGGGCGGGCUGAGCGGCUCGCAGGGCCGGCGGCGGGCUGCUGGCCGCCUCGUAGUGCGCAGAUGCUAAGCCAAGAUGAUGCAUCUUUCCACUUGCACCUGCAAAAAUGCACAAGAGACUUAUGACUGAGACAUAGCCUGAAGAAAGUUAAUGUGGUUGUUAGUAGUCUCUGUCACAAAUGGCAAGACUAUGGAUGGCUCUGGUCUUUUUCCUCAGACCUUGAUGAAACCUAGAAAGGACAGAAAGUUGAUUUUGCUAAAGGAGCAGCAGCUGUAAGGAAAAAAAAAAAAGAGAGAAAAAUCAAGCAAAAAAAAGCUUGAGGAAGCCAAGGACAAGAACUACAACUGGUUAUGACUAAUCUGUUACAAGCUUUAAUUUUCUUGUACCUUAGUGGAUCUUUUAACCUAAUUUAUAGAGUCUAUUCCUUUUUAAUUUCUUUUAAAAGUUAAGACUUCUUUCAUAAAGUACAGGGAGUACAUGAAGCUUGUAUACUUAGUUUAUUUUGUAUACUUAGCUUAGAAAUCUGUUAGCAUGUAGAGCAACGAUGCAGCAACGACAUUCAGAUUUUUGAUUAAAAAUAGGUUAGUAAAUCACAAGCAAUAAACCUGAAGUAUCUCACACCCCUUUGCCAUGCCCUCACUUUUCAGUGAUAGUUAAAGAAUGAUAUCAAAAAUUCAUUUAUGUUUGGCUGCUUGACAUGGCCAAUGCAAAUAAAUCACAUAAGCUUAGGAAAACAGGUAAUUAUUUAUCAGCAAGCUCAUUCAUCUCCAGCCAGGCUUAAAAAAAAAAAAAAAGAA
Numida meleagris (helmeted guineafowl) is the source of this 864-nucleotide long non-coding RNA. RefSeq lists it as uncharacterized. Lineage: Eukaryota; Metazoa; Chordata; Aves; Galliformes; Numididae. The record is from RefSeq and is a predicted model, not a curated record. The transcript is spliced from 2 exons.